RNAcentral lists this small nuclear RNA (84 nucleotides) under Ursus americanus (American black bear). RNAcentral describes it as "U4 spliceosomal RNA (ENSUAMG00000024897.1)". It matches the Rfam family "U4 spliceosomal RNA", at positions 1 to 83 of the family's 138-position model. From Rfam's summary of the family: U4 small nuclear RNA (U4 snRNA) is a component of the major U2-dependent spliceosome. The structure of U4 snRNA from yeast and human has been reported. U4 snRNA presents a k-turn RNA motif in the 5p-SL related to recognition of Snu13 protein. Lineage: Eukaryota; Metazoa; Chordata; Mammalia; Carnivora; Ursidae. The record is from RNAcentral.
AGCUUUGCGCAGUGGCAGUAUCAUAGCCAAUGAAGUUUAUCUGAGGCACAGUUAUUGCUAAUUGAAAACUUUUCCCAAUAAAUC